This is a long non-coding RNA of Nomia melanderi (Alkali bee), 1639 nucleotides long. RefSeq lists it as uncharacterized. NCBI's taxonomy places the organism in Eukaryota, Metazoa, Arthropoda, Insecta, Hymenoptera, Halictidae. The record is from RefSeq and is a predicted model, not a curated record.
AUGGUGAGCAAGACCGCCAUUAAGAAGAAGAUUAGGAAGGAGAGGAGAUCAGUUCGCGUGGAAAUCAGCGGGAGCGGAUGGAAAUGGAUGGAAAAUGGGCCAGUGAACUCGUCUCCGGCGGUGUACAACGAUCGCAACGGGAUGUGCUUGUGCUGCGGAGGCUGCGUUCCUGGGAUUGCCUUUGUCGAUUUCGAGUGGAGUCGUUGAGCCGAUGUUGUGCAUCGUUUGGUUCGAUCGGCUGGUUUCACCGGGAAUCGAAUCCAAAGCGACACGGCAUGGCCGAGAGGGUUCAAGGUGCUCGGUGCACAGGUGUCCCGGCACGCGGGCCGCAUAAUUCGUGAAGGGGGCGUUCGCGGGGGCGGAGACGGAGGAAAGGAAGAGCUGGCACGCACACACGCGCCCCACGGAACAAGGGUGAGAUACGGAGCCGCCAUCGAGGCCGCGAUAUUUCGAGCAGACCGCGCCGUUUCGCUCGGUGCUCCUCCACGGCAGGAAGUCUGGCUGAUACCUACCCGUCGAACGAUACCAUCGACAGCUCGGUACGUGCGUCGAGCUGUCCGACAUGUCGGUCACGCUGUCGACCGAUAACGAAUGCCUGUUGGUCGCAUAAACAAAGCUGCCCGUAGAAAUUUCUAAUAAGCGAGGAGGGUGAAGGAACACGGGGAGGGGAACGCGUAGCUCAACGUAUUUUCUGCAUUAAUGCCAGCUAGUUCCCGAAGCGAGUGAAUCCUAAUUUUUCGUUGUAGCUUGCAACUGUAGUUUCCACGGUAAUACCGUAGUUGCCGAAGCAAUACCGUAGUUCUCGAGGCGAUAGUUAUCACAGCAAUGCUCUAGUUUCUGUAGCAAGAAAAUUCAUCGAAACUACAGUGUCUAGGAUGGAGCUCGAUGAAGGUUGAGCGUGCUGGUAGAAGUUACUAAAACGUUAUCUAUUCAAUUUAUUGAGACUCGCAGCGCUGUUUGAACGUUUCACAGCAAUUCGGCGUAUCCCCCAGAGGGAAACCGUCCUGCACUAAAACAGCAGACUUGCUCUACAUUUCGAAUGUCCGCGACACUGUAGUUUCUAACAAUCUCCUCUAUUUUUCCCGAUAUGCCUAUCGAUCCCUAACCAGUCUCAACAUUCAAACUAUUUUUGCCCAAACGAACCGAACGUCGCAAUCUCUUCUCGACGCGUUAUUCCGUUUUUCGCUGGUCAACUAACUGACUCUCCUCCUCUCCUCGUAUUUAGCAACACACAUUCUUUCAUUCUCCAUACACCAAUCCUUCGCAUCGCCUGUCGCUCUAUCCCAUUCGUUCUCACUCAUUCGGCGCGCGUCUCGUACUCAUUCAAACAUUCGCUCGCUACACGAGGAAUUCCAGGGAGGCCAGACGCCAAGAAAAUCGCAAGACAAGGGACGAGCGGUUCCAGGGGACUGGGAAAGCAAGGAAAGAAGGAGAGAGAGAGAGAGCUCGCCGUAAGAAGCGAUUUCAGGAAUUGGAACCGCGCCCCGGCAAUUUCUCGUCGACUAUUAAGUCAGCCCCGUGGCCCGGGCCCGAAACACGAGCAACAAGAUGUAGCAAGUUCGGGAACGACGCGGUUCCAUUAUAAACUCCGGGGAGGAGGUUGGAACCGCUCCGGAGAGGUGAUUCCGCGCCCCGCUGU